Molecule: non-coding RNA, 2331 nt
Organism: Chelonoidis abingdonii (Abingdon island giant tortoise)
Lineage: Eukaryota; Metazoa; Chordata; Testudines; Testudinidae
Source: RefSeq, a predicted model, not a curated record
UUCUAUGACAAAUCCCUCCCCCUUCCCCCCCCCAUCACCCUCGGUCUCGCGACAGCUGCUUAACAUAAAAUGGCUACAAUGUAACAUCUUUGCCUUUUGAUGUCUCUCGCUGCUGCUGCGGGAGAAUUGGGGAUAUAAAGCCGGAACAAAAGCCCCUCCCCUGCGGGACCUGCCAGAGAAAUGCAUCACCAGGAGAAGAGCUCCUCGCCAGUGCCCGGCAUUGCCCGCUCCGCCACGGCACUCGCUUACCACGAGCACUACCCCUCGCCCGGCCCCGUCAAGAGCAAAGCCCUGAAGACUGAGAAAGACGCGGCAUUGCCCUCCUUCCCCUUGGGCGCAGGCUACAAUGACCUCGCUGUGUCGGGCAACCAGACGCACCCAACAGGAAGUGGAGGCAGCGGGGCGCAAGCUCAGGACCUGCGACUCUCGAAGCGCAGACCCCUCCCAGGGAAGCACUACCAGUGCUCCAGCUAUGGCUGCAAGCUGGCCUUCCACAGCAUGCAGGAGCUAAUGGAUCACAUGAGAGUCCACUACAGACCCACUCAGUCCCUGGAGGGUAAAAUAUUCCACUGCCCCACCCAGGGCUGCACGGAAACUUUCCCCAGCAUGCAGGACCUGGUGGCUCACAUGAAGGUGCACUACAAGCCAAACCGCUACUUCAAGUGCGAGAACUGCCUGCUGCGCUUCCGGACCCACCGCUCCCUCUUCAAGCACCUGCACGUCUGCUCCGACAGCACCAGCAGCCCAGCUCCAGUGCAGAAAGCCGAGAGGCCCCCCCCACCUGCUACCUCCAGACUGGAGAAGGACCCCCCGGCCAAGCCGCUGGAGGGGCUGCCCAAACUCCAGAGCGUCAUCCGGCACAUGGAGAAAGAAGCCAUCCUCCCCAGAAUGGACGCUGUCUCCUCCGCCGUGCCAGCCUCACUCCCCACUAGUCUCCCUGGUCUCCACGGCUCCCUGGAGUCCAUGCCCCUGGUCUCUCCAGCCUCCCACCCAUUCCCUCUGCUGGAGCCCUCUCCCUUCGGGCCGUCGUCCUUGACCCGGUUCUCGGGCCAGCCUCACUCCUCGGUGCCGGGGCCUUUCCUGUCCUACAUGCACCCCUCUCCUUACAGCUUACCUCAGGCUUCGGUUCAGCAUCGCCUCAGGCCGUAUCUGCCCAGCCAAGGCCUCCCCGUCUCCAACGCUGUGUGGAAGAAAAGUCAAGGUGAGAACACAGGGCCAGCAGGUAAAUCUGUCGUCUUCAGCUGGGAAUCCCCCAGGCUACAGCAAACCUCCUUCCAGGCUCGCCCCAGGCCGCUGCUGCGAGAACCCACAGGCGGGCGGGGAGGCACUUCCGGCCGAGGACGCUACCCACCAGCUGCCCUGUCCUCCCUUUGCCACCCUGAGAACCAGACAGAUCCCACUUGCUCAAGCUCCCAGAUUCCCUCUGUCCCGGGCUCCGUAGAGUGGGUUCCAGUGGCCAUUUCUCCACCCCUCAUCCCAACAUCUCGCGCCCAACAGACAAGCUGCUCCAUGGGGAAACUUGAGAACAAGAUCCACGUCUAUCCUGGAGGGCUCCCCAGAUGUGGGGCAUGAGGCAUGAUCCCAUUUAUCCUACUCUGUUUGCCAAGGCCUGGGGGUGUAUUGGGCUGAAUCCUCCGCUGGCUCCACCAACCUCCACGGAGAUACCGUGCCAGUGGAGAAUUCGCCUCUCGUUCUGUAACCGAGGCCGUGACACCUCCCUGGCCUGUUCCUCCCUCGCUCCCUCCCGCCAGCCUGUGGCCGCUGUGCUGAGCUGGUGAGCCCCGCUCCCUUUCCCGUGUUGGCCGUCGUCGGCCUGUGCUGGGGACCCCUUUGGCGCAGGAUCCGGCGGGAAGAGGCGCCCUGGCGACAGGCUAUUGCAACUGCUGCCCAGCUAACACCCUGACAAACCUGCGGAUGGUGUAGCACCAGGACAUGUUCCUGGCUCUCAUUUGCUCCAGUGUGAGAGUCCCUCCCUGUGCUAAAAAAAAAAAUCCCCCUUCAGCUCCCCCACAGCCCCCAAUCUCUGUCCUGCUUCCACCCCCUGGAACUGUCCGUCGAGUCCUGCGGGCACAGCGCCUGGAGUGAUGCCCCCUUGUCCUGUCAGCCUUGUUCUGAAAAGCCAGUGGCAGCUACAGCUGGCAUCCGAGCCAGGGCCUCUUGGUCGCUUCCCUUCCCCCCAGCCAAGGGAGGGGAAGGCCUAAUGCUUGUCUCGCCCCUCGAUUCCCUUCGCAGGUGUGUGCGUCGGCCCACGCCUCCCAUGCUUUGGCUCAGGUGUGACUUCAGGCCACUCCUCCAACAGCCGCAUCGUGUGGGAGCACACGCGAGGGCGCU